Non-coding RNA from Brachypodium distachyon (stiff brome), 137 nucleotides. NCBI's taxonomy places the organism in Eukaryota, Viridiplantae, Streptophyta, Magnoliopsida, Poales, Poaceae. The record is from Rfam.
CAUAUACUUCCUCCGUCCAACAAAGGAUGUCUCAACUUUGAUUAAAUUUGGAUGCAUCUAUACAUUAAAAUCAUGUCUAAAUACAUCAAACUUUUGACAAAUUUGAGACAUCUUUUGUUGAACGGAGAGAGUAUUUA